GAUGAACGCUGGCGGCGUGCUUAACACAUGCAAGUCGAACGAAGCACUUUAUUUGAUUUCCUUCGGGACUGAUUAUUUUGUGACUGAGUGGCGGACGGGUGAGUAACGCGUGGGUAACCUGCCUUGUACAGGGGGAUAACAGUUGGAAACGGCUGCUAAUACCGCAUAAGCGCACAGCAUCGCAUGAUGCAGUGUGAAAAACUCCGGUGGUAUAAGAUGGACCCGCGUUGGAUUAGCUAGUUGGUGAGGUAACGGCCCACCAAGGCGACGAUCCAUAGCCGAGCAGAGAGGGUGACCGGCCACAUUGGGACUGAGCCACGGUCCAAACUCCUACGGGAGGCAGCAGUGGGGAAUAUUGCACAAUGGGCGAAAGCAUGAUGCAGCGACGCCGCGUGAGCGAAGAAGUAUUUCGGUAUGUAAAGCUCUAUCAGCAGGGAAGAUAAUGACGGUACCUGACUAAGAAGCACCGGCUAAAUACGUG
RNAcentral lists this ribosomal RNA (481 nucleotides) under uncultured bacterium. RNAcentral describes it as "partial 16S ribosomal RNA". It matches the Rfam family "Bacterial small subunit ribosomal RNA", at positions 28 to 507 of the family's 1533-position model. The record is from RNAcentral.